GCCCGGAUGGCGAAACGGAAAACGCGCCGGUCUCAGAAGCCGGUGGCCGCAAGGCCGUGUGGGUUCGAGUCCCACUCCGGGCACCA
RNAcentral lists this transfer RNA (86 nucleotides) under Lysobacter enzymogenes. RNAcentral describes it as "tRNA-Leu". It matches the Rfam family "tRNA". Rfam says of the family: Transfer RNA (tRNA) molecules are approximately 80 nucleotides in length. Lineage: Bacteria; Pseudomonadati; Pseudomonadota; Gammaproteobacteria; Lysobacterales; Lysobacteraceae. The record is from RNAcentral.